AUGGUCACCGUGCCCGUUGCGGCUGCCGGCCUUAUCGCGAUGGUGCGCUUGGGGGCGGAGGAGCUGGCCAGCCGACUCUCUGUGCUCAACCCAGUGCACCUGUAUUUGGCCUGUUUCUUCCCGGCCGCAGCGGCCAUCGUCUACCUAAUGCUGCGUCCGCGCGCGGUGUACCUCGUCGACUACGCCGGCUUCCGUACCCCGUCUAACUGCCGGGUACCCUUCGCCACAUUUCUGGAGCACGCCAGACAACUGCCCGAGUUCAACGAGCGCAGCAUCCGGUUCAUGACGCGGUUGCUGGAGCGCUCAGGGCUCGGGAACGAGACUUGCCUGCCCCCGACACACCACUACAUCGGGACGCACAAAUAUUGCACCGUUGACGCAGCGCGCGCCGAGUUCGAGCUCGUGGCUUUCUCAGCCAUCGACGACCUGCUCGCCAAGACCGGUAUCGGCCCGGACGCCAUCGACAUACUCAUCGUCAACUGCAGCUUGUUUUGUCCCACUCCGUCUUUGGUCGACAUAAUCAUAAACAAGUACAAGCUGCGGAGCGACGUCCGCAGCAUGCACCUCUCCGGCAUGGGAUGUAGCGCGGGGAUGAUCUCCGUGAUGCUCCUGCCUAACUGCCUCUUCCGCAUAGGCGGAGCGGCCGCGCUGCUGUCGACAUCGUCGGCAAAGGCCCGGUUCCGCCUAAAGCAUGUCGUGCGCACCCUCACCGCCGCGGACGACAGUUCGUUCCGGUGUGUGUUCCCGGAGGAGGACGGAGAGGGCCACCGGGGGAUCAACCUCAGCAAGGAUCUGAUGAACAUCGCCGGCAACUCGCUCAAGGCCAACAUCACUGCAAUGGGCCCACUCGUCCUGCCGGCCAGGGAGCAGCUCAUGUUCGCCUUCUCCUUCAUCGCACGGAAGGUGAUCGGCAAGAGAGUGAAGCCGUACGUCCCGGACUUCCGCACUGCCUUUGAGCACUUCUGCAUCCACGCCGGUGGCCGCGCGGUCAUCGACGAGCUGCAGAAGAGCCUUAGCCUUUCCGACGAGCAGGUGGAGGCAUCACGCAUGACGCUGCACCGGUUUGGAAACACGUCGAGCAGCUCGUUGUGGUACGAGCUGGCCUACAUAGAGGCCAAGGGCCGCAUGCGCAAGGGCGACCGCGUGUGGAUGAUCGGCUUCGGAUCCGGAUUCAAGUGCAAUAGUGCGGCGUGGGAGUGCAUCGAGCCUGCGCGCAACGCGCAUGGACCGUGGGCAACGUCCAUCCACAGAUAUCCGGUGGAUGUUACUGAUGUUUUCAAGCAUUAA
This 1287-nucleotide ribosomal RNA is filed under the name Triticum aestivum (bread wheat). RNAcentral's name for it is "partial small subunit ribosomal RNA". Lineage: Eukaryota; Viridiplantae; Streptophyta; Magnoliopsida; Poales; Poaceae. The record is from RNAcentral.